CCACCCCUUGGGCUGCUCUCAGAGCUGACAUAUGACACAACUCAGGAACACACUAGUGACUUAGUGUGCACCCUGAAGAAACCACAGGCUUUGUCAAGCAGGGUGACGGGACAUCCUGGACUUUCCAGCAUCAGUCUGUUGAAAUCACCCUAUAACCAGGAAGCCCUCCCGGUGGUUUCUACCUACAUCUCAUUGGUCAUCUGUGUCUACCAGAGGGCAGAAAUCGAGCCUGUAGCUUUUACAGCUUCUAUGAUAGAGCUUAGAGAUGGGAGAGAUGAAAGCUGAAAACUGCCAAUCAAGUAUUUCAGACUUAGGAAUAAAUUUUGAUGAAAAGCUGCAUAGUCUACAAAUGCAUAAAACCAGAAGGAAGUGAUGGCUCACGCACCUUCUGAUGGACAAAGACAGGCUUCCCACAAGGAAACUCCUGCAG
This is a long non-coding RNA of Zalophus californianus (California sea lion), 430 nucleotides long. RefSeq lists it as uncharacterized. The record is from RefSeq and is a predicted model, not a curated record. The transcript is spliced from 3 exons. NCBI's taxonomy places the organism in Eukaryota, Metazoa, Chordata, Mammalia, Carnivora, Otariidae.